RNAcentral lists this ribosomal RNA (329 nucleotides) under uncultured eukaryote. Its description in RNAcentral is "partial 18S ribosomal RNA". It matches the Rfam family "Eukaryotic small subunit ribosomal RNA", at positions 1470 to 1796 of the family's 1831-position model. The record is from RNAcentral.
CCCUUAGAUGUUCUGGGCCGCACGCGCGCUACACUGAUGCAUUCAACGAGUCUAAAACCUGCUCUGAUAGGGGUGGGUAAUCUUUUGAAUGUGCAUCGUGAUUGGGAUAGAUGAUUGCAAUUUUUCAUCUUCAACGAGGAAUGCCUAGUAAACGCAAGCCAUCAGCUUGCAUUGAUUACGUCCCUGCCCUUUGUACACACCGCCCGUCGCUCCUACCGAUUGAAUGAUCCGAUGAAUAUCAUGGAUUGAGGAUGCAAGUAGGUUCGCCUAUCUUCAUCUUCGAGAAGUGAAGUAAAUCUUAUCAUUUAGAGGAAGGAGAAGUCGUAACA